Molecule: ribosomal RNA, 403 nt
Filed under: uncultured bacterium
Lineage: Bacteria
Description: bacterial SSU rRNA
Rfam family: Bacterial small subunit ribosomal RNA
Source: RNAcentral
UGGGGAAUAUUGGACAAUGGGCGAAAGCCUGAUCCAGCCAUGCCGCGUGAGUGAAGAAGGCCUUAGGGUUGUAAAGCUCUUUCAGCGGGGAAGAUAAUGACGGUACCCGCAGAAGAAGUCCCGGCUAACUUCGUGCCAGCAGCCGCGGUAAUACGAAGGGGACUAGCGUUGUUCGGAUUUACUGGGCGUAAAGCGCGCGUAGGCGGAUCGCUAAGUCAGGGGUGAAAUCCCAGGGCUCAACCCUGGAACUGCCUUUGAUACUGACGAUCUGGAGAUCGGGAGAGGUUGGUGGAAUUCCGAGUGUAGAGGUGAAAUUCGUAGAUAUUCGGAGGAACACCAGAAGCGAAGGCGGCCAACUGGCCCGAUACUGACGCUGAGGCGCGAAAGCGUGGGGAGCAAACAG